This 790-nucleotide unclassified non-coding RNA is filed under the name Hevea brasiliensis (rubber tree). The record is from RNAcentral. Lineage: Eukaryota; Viridiplantae; Streptophyta; Magnoliopsida; Malpighiales; Euphorbiaceae.
CUGAUAAGUGGUUAUCAAUGUUAUUUGUGAGAGGUGUCCAUGGCCUUCAUGAGAGUGAUGGGCCUCUUACUGAUCUAUUUGUUACACUGCUGGGUCAUUCAGAACCUGAACAACGAUUUAUAGCUAUUAAGCACUUGGGUAGAUUGGUUGGCCAAGAUCUAAAUGGAGAAGCAAUUCUACAGUAUUCUACAUUUUGCAGUAACUUACUUUCACCAGGCUUAAGUCAUUCAGUUUCUGAGCCGUUUCUGUCGUUUCUGGUUUCAAGUACAUGGGAUCGGGUGGUUUUGCUGGCAUCAUCUGAUACAUUAUUACCUCUGAGAAUUCAUGCUAUGGCAGUUCUCAUAUGUUAUAUACCAUAUGCUGCUCAGCACCAGUUACAAUCAUUUCUUUCUGCAACUGAUAGUGUUCUUCAUAUUUUGGGAAAAAGUGCACAUCCAACAUGUGAGGGCCCACUACUACGGCUCUCAUUAGCACUUGUUGCUGGUGCCUGCCUGUACUCACAUGCUGAAGACAUUUCUUUGAUACCUCAAGAAGUUUGGAGAAAUAUUGAGGCCAUAGGAUUGUCUAAAACUGGAGGCCAUGUCGGUGAUUUGGAGAAAAAUGCUUGUGAAGUCUUGUGUAGAUUGAGAAAUGAAGGGGAUGAAGCGAAACAGGCUUUGAUAGAAGUUCUCUCUUCAAAUUCUUCAAAACAAGUUGACUCAGAAUUUGGGAGCACCCGUGAAGAAAUUCUUCAGGUCCUUGCCAAUUUAACUUCAGUUGAUUCAUACUUUGAGGUGUUCUCAAAAAAAAU